GGGCAAGCCAUGGGACUGGAAGGCAGCAGGCAGAUGUCAGGGUUGGGGAUUACUGGCUCAGAAGCAGGGUCAUGGGAUACAUGAACUUCAGGCUUAAUCUCUGUGUGAGAAAAACAGCAUGAAGAUAAUCAACUCUAUGUCAGAAGAAAUUGGCAACACUACUAACCAAGAGUAAUGCACACCGAAGAAUUCACCUUCUUAUGGAGUCACCUUCAUCCCUCUGCUCAGCAAACAUGUCUCUCCUAUAAGCAAAUUCAAUGAGGAAUUUUUCCCCUUUAUUGUUGACACAGUAUCUCUUUACAACGGUAAGUUGUGCAUCUUUUCAGCCUGUCUUCAUAACCAUCAUGUGAUUUCAUGC
This 358-nucleotide long non-coding RNA is filed under the name Pan troglodytes (chimpanzee). RNAcentral describes it as "long non-coding RNA NONPTRT002309". The record is from RNAcentral. Lineage: Eukaryota; Metazoa; Chordata; Mammalia; Primates; Hominidae.